This 387-nucleotide ribosomal RNA is filed under the name uncultured euryarchaeote. Its description in RNAcentral is "bacterial SSU rRNA". It matches the Rfam family "Archaeal small subunit ribosomal RNA", at positions 339 to 727 of the family's 1478-position model. Lineage: Archaea; Methanobacteriati; Methanobacteriota. The record is from RNAcentral.
GCGCGGAACCUUUACAAUGCACGAAAGUGUGAUAAGGUAACUCAAAGUGCUUAUACAACGUAUAAGCUUUUGCCAAGAGCAAAUAUCUUGGAGAAUAAGUGGUGGGCAAGACCGGUGCCAGCAGCCGCGGUAACACCGGCGCCACAAGUGGGGAUCAGCAUUAUUGGGCCUAAAGCGUCCGUAGCCUGUCAUGUAAAUCUCAUGUGAAAUUGUUGCGCUCAACGUAACAACGUGCACGAGACACUGCAAGACUUGGAACCGGGAGGAGUAAGAGGUAUUCUUGGGGGAGCGGUAAAAUGUUAUAAUCCCAAGAGGACCACCUGUGGCGAAGGCGUCUUACUAGAACGGCUUUGACGGUGAGGGACGAAAGCUAGGGGAGCAAACCGG